Molecule: ribosomal RNA, 253 nt
Filed under: uncultured bacterium
Lineage: Bacteria
Description: partial 16S ribosomal RNA
Rfam family: Bacterial small subunit ribosomal RNA
Source: RNAcentral
UACGUAGGGUGCGAGCGUUAAUCGGAAUUACUGGGCGUAAAGCGUGCGCAGGCGGGCUUUUAAGCCAGACGUGAAAUCCCCGGGCUUAACCUGGGAAUGGCGUUUGGGACUGGAAGUCUGGAGUGCGGCAGAGGAGACUGGAAUUCCUGGUGUAGCAGUGAAAUGCGUAGAUAUCAGGAGGAACACCGGUGGCGAAGGCGCCACUCUGGGCCGACACUGACGCUGAGGAGCGAAAGCGUGGGUAGCAAACAGG